Molecule: ribosomal RNA, 215 nt
Filed under: Campeiostachys nutans
Lineage: Eukaryota; Viridiplantae; Streptophyta; Magnoliopsida; Poales; Poaceae
Description: Elymus nutans partial small subunit ribosomal RNA
Rfam family: Eukaryotic small subunit ribosomal RNA (bases 46-215)
Source: RNAcentral
AGACCAUCAUGUCGGUCGUGCCUCGGUACGUACUGGUAUUGUUGGUUUCUCCCUUCUGACGAACCUUGAUGUCAUUAAUUUGGUGUCUUGGGGAAUCAGGACUGUUACUUUGAAAAAAUUAGAGUGUUUAAAGCAGGCUCACGCUUGAAUACAUUAGCAUGGAAUAAUGAAAUAGGACGUUUAAUUCUAUUUUGUUGGUUUCUAGGAUUGACGUA